AUGAGGCUUGGGAGUCUGACUCAGAAAAUAAGCAGUUCUGUGUCAGAGAAUGAGGAAGCUGGUGUCGAGGAAGAGAUUUGUGAUGAGGCCAGAUCAGUGUUUGUGCUCCUCACCUUCGUCUGUUACCUGCCUCCAGCUGACUGGAUACGGAAGACUGGAUGGAGCACGUUGGCAGGAGAAUCACCGGUGAAUCUGAAGCAGGCGGAGGCAGCUUCAGUAAGACGCGCCAUUGCCGCCUCUCAGGAAACCAUUCAAGAGGGCGGAACCUGCAAGUGUUUGCCAAGAGAAAGAUUUUACAUACCCUUUUAAAAUAGACUUCAUGAGGAGCUGAGAUUUCACAAUGCAGAAGGGGAAAAAAGAAGGCGGGGAGUGUACAUUAGAAUCUGGUAUGCUGUGUACUACGUGCCUUCAAAAGUCAAAUAGAACUUCUCUCUGUCCAAAAAAUACAAAAGUAAAAUAAAAUAGACUUCCUGAGGGAUGUCAGAAAGGUACAUUGCCUCUUUAAAUGAUGUAUGAAUAGUUCAUUUAUUUUUAAAAAUAAUCACAUAUGUGUUUAUAUAAAUUAUACAUGCAAACAUAUGCUCAGCAGUUCUCCUCAUGGAAAGGCUGUUGCUUAUCCAAUUUGGUGCUGACGCUGUCUUUCCAUGGUCCUCUCUCUAGCAACAGGAUUCUGCUGUCCGCCCCGCACCCCCACCCCCGUGUAAGUGCCUGCAUAUAGAGCUCCUUCGCACGACGCCAAGCACUUACUUUUAUACUUUUCUUACCACUGAUGCUGGGUAAGAAAUAAAAUCCAGAGACUUCACUAUCUAUAAUUAAGACUUUUGCUGCUACCAUGAUAUAAAGAUUGGGAAACAGAUAUUUUAUCUUG
This 868-nucleotide long non-coding RNA is filed under the name Ovis aries (sheep). RNAcentral describes it as "lncRNA (ENSOARG00000025589.1)". The record is from RNAcentral. Lineage: Eukaryota; Metazoa; Chordata; Mammalia; Artiodactyla; Bovidae.